UGGGAUUUUGGGCGGCAAUUUCUUUUUCCUCAAUCCUCCUUCACUUUCACGAGCGGCAAUGGCUAUACAGCUUCUCUCUCCAAUCAAUUCUCCCAAAAUUAUGCAAUAGUUUCCUUUCUCAAAUGUAUUUCUAAUAGAAAAACCCAAAAUGUUACGUAUCAUUCAUCUUAUCCUCCAAUCCAUCACCAUCUUCGAUUCAACACUGGCAAUCAAAAUCGAUGAAGGAAAACGUGGGGUUGUGGUAGUGCAGAUAUGGCCGGAAAAAACGUUUUCAGAUCUGAAAAUCAUGUUGGUGGUGGUGGUGAUAGGUGUUUUCUUUCCAUAUAUCUAUCUACGAUUAUUCAAGCCUAAAUUAUGGAAGGGAUUAUUCAACCCCAAAUCAUAACCAGAGGAUCUGGAUUAGUUUGAAAUUAAGUUGUGAAGAUGAGUGGAGCAGUGCUUGUGGCUGUUGUUGCUGUUGGUAAUCUGCAUCAAUGAUAGGAUAACGCCACUAUUGCUGAGUUGCAAUGUUAUUUUCUGCCCAAAGAGAAUGCUAUUGAGACAUUGCAACAGUCACUACUAGGAAAAAAAAUAAGUUUCUUUGGUGGUAGGAGCUACGUAUUGAGCUUCUUGUGGUUGUACAGAGAGCUUCUUUGGUUUCAGUGGUGUUAGUUUGAUUUGAAGGUGGUUGCCUGCUGCUCUUAUUCAGGUUAUGAUGCGGCUGGCAAUGGCUCGGAUGAUUACUCGAGAUACGUAACCCCUGAUGUAGUUGAUGCGUCUCAUGUGUUUAUGGAGAUAACGGGUCAAUUAUGUAUCCUGAUGGGAUGACCCCCAUAAGUUGUUGGAUGAGAUGAUAAAUUGUGAUUCAUCAAGUAUACGUUAGGUUAUUAGGCAGAUGAUUAAGGGAGAUUACGAUGAUGCUUCUAGGGGAGAUUACGAUGACUCAUCAAGUAUACAUCAGGUUGUGGUCUGGGGAUGCAUGCACAGCUAUAUCAGUUUGUUUCAAGAACAUGCAUUAGAUUGUUGCAUAUCUUUAAAACCUUUAUGAUGGAGAAGGUAAUAUCCAGUAGUCCGAUAUAUCUCGGGAUCAUUCUUUGGCAGCGGAAGUUUGGGCAGUUUUUUAUAUUCAAAUUUGAUAAACAGUCUGAGGUUUAUAGUGUUUUGAGAGACUAGAUCAAGGGAUUCUUAAGGGAUUAUCUGAAGACCUGUAUUAGUCAAUUGUGUGAAGCCCAUAAUAUUUUGCUAAACUGGUCUAAGGGGUUGCUUGAAGAUAUGUGAUGUGAUAAUAGGCAGGGGCAUUUUGGGAAUACUGAAGAUUUUCUUGCCAGUAACGUUUGGGGUCAAAAUAAUUGUGUUGACCGAGUUUUGGGCCAAUAUAGAUGUGUUUUGUUGCUCUUAUGGACAUAUCAAAUGGUUCUAAUGUUUAUACAAAGCUAGGGCUAUUUUUGGAAUUUUGGAAGGAAUAUAGAGGGGAGGAAGCUACAGUGUAACUGGUAUGGUCUUAGGGAUCAGUUUUUGGUGUUCAAACUGAGGGUUUUGAUUAGUAUAUGGGCUUUGGGCAAUGUUGAGGAUGCACUUUUGAUGGCUCUUAUAAAUGAUUGAAGUGGCGACUAUGAGGCUGCACUUAUGAAGGAGAUAAAAUUGUUAUUUAUAGCUUUAACGAAUGACAAUGAUACCACGUUAAGACUCCGACUUUUAUCCGGAGGUUUGUUGUAUCCGAUGUCCGGAGGUUGAGAUGCUUUUUGAAGUCUGGUGAUGAUUUCUUUCUGAAUAAAUGGGGUUAUUUUGAGAUCAUCUUUCUAAAUGAUGGGUUUUUUUUGGGAUAUAAAUGGGGUCUUUUUUUACGUUUUAAAGUGGGUUCUCCAUGAUCAGCAAGUCCGGAUGAUAACACAUGGGUGUAAACAAGUCAAAUGAUACGUGAGUCACUCGACAUCAGCUAAUUAAAAGCAUGAAUUAAGCCAAGCUUAAACGGAGUUUGCGGCAGUGGAGUUGUGGCUCGAUGAAGAGACGGAGUUUGCGGCAGUGGCGUUCGAUAGUGGCUUCCUCGGUCUCGGACUCCCGGUUGAGGAAGAAGCGAAAAUCUGAACAAGGUUUAUGGUUCAGAUGGUGAUGGUAAGAUAACAGGGGAUAAUGCAACAAUUGUCUUUGCUAAAUCAAAUAUAAAAAAAAAAACCUCAACUUAAGCAGGAAUGCAUUUGGACAGCUGACAGCAGGGAUGCGGUAGGUGGUAAUAGUCACACUAGAGGAGCUUGAAGCUAUUGAACGACGAUCACGGCUUCAGAGGGAAUCCGAUCAAAGAAUGUGAGUGAGGUCAUCUCUUUCACCAAAAUGUUCGGGUAAGCUUUAACUUUGACCCUUCCAUUUCCGCUCUAAAGUUGCGCGUGAUCAUUGGCUUCGAAAAGAUAUUAACAAGUAUGGUGUGCUUCUAUUUAAUGAACUGAACAAAGAUUAAAAAACAUACUUGCAAAAAACUCAUCGAUUCCUUUUCGAACAGAGGGGUUACUUAUGUACCUUAUUUAUUAUUCUACAGAUAACAUUUUAAAUAAUUUACAAAACUAUAGGAAAAAAGUUAUUCUGCAUGAUCCACUGUGAUUAUGUGAUUUUAGUAUUUUCCAAGUUUGGAUAUGAGGAAGAUAGUUAAUUCCAAAUAUUGGUAGGUUAAAGACCUCCUAAAUGUUCUACUAAAGAUUGCUAUGAAAGGCAUAACCACUUUUUUUUCUUCUAAAAUAUCAAGCUAUCUUUGAGAUACUAUGCAUUGUUAUUGGCUAUAAAUAUUAUUUUUUUAAUCUUUCAUUUUUAAGCAAUAUGUACAUCCUGUUUUGCAGUUUUUCAUUUGUUACACACUUGGACUUAUAGCUGAAUUUUCCCUAUAGCUAAAAAGUAUUUUUGUUGGAUGUUUAAUGAAAAACGAAAGCCCAUUUUAUAAAUAAAAAUAUUUCGGCAAUGAGUUGUGGUGAAUUGCAUAUAAGAAGCGUUUAUUUGUUCUCCAGUUUAUUUUGGGAAGGAGGGUAUAGAGAUUAAAUAUUUGGUUGCAUCUUUUUGGCACCAAAAACUUUUUUAAUUCCAAUAGUGUUCACUGUGGUUCUCAAUUUAUUAUUACCAUCUUCAUGAAAGGUUUCCCAAGUUUAAAUCAAGUUCAAGUUGGACUCCUAUUUUGGCACUUUUUGUUGUUCAUUUGAUAACAAAAGAUAGUUAUAUUCUUUGAUUUAUACAUACUAUCAAAUGUGGAGUUAAGGUAUGCCAAAAGGGCAUGGGUGUAUAAACUAGGUAUUUAGAUGGUUGGUCAAAUAAAACAGGGUUGAUGGUUUCUGUCAACCCCAUGCUAUUCUUUUCAAAGUUCUUGAAGAUAAGGUUGGCCUUGAUUGUAUGCUUUUGGUGGUAAGGUAAGUUCAAGUCUCUAUUUUCUCUUGUUAAUCCACUUUUAGAAUUUUAUUUUUUGUUUUUUCAUUCGGUCACUAGGUUUGCCCAAAUGAAGGAAAGCUGGAAUGAACGGAUUCA
Long non-coding RNA from Helianthus annuus (common sunflower), 3477 nucleotides. RefSeq lists it as uncharacterized. The transcript has 11 exons. The record is from RefSeq and is a predicted model, not a curated record. Lineage: Eukaryota; Viridiplantae; Streptophyta; Magnoliopsida; Asterales; Asteraceae.